Molecule: ribosomal RNA, 253 nt
Filed under: uncultured bacterium
Lineage: Bacteria
Description: partial 16S ribosomal RNA
Rfam family: Bacterial small subunit ribosomal RNA
Source: RNAcentral
UACGUAGGGUGCGAGCGUUGUCCGGAAUUACUGGGCGUAAAGGGCUCGUAGGCGGCCAACUAAGUCGGAUGUGAAAUCCCCAGGCUUAACCUGGGAACUGCAUCCGAUACUGGAUGGCUUGAAUCCGGGAGAGGGAUGCAGAAUUCCAGGUGUAGCGGUGAAAUGCGUAGAUAUUUGGAGGAACACCGGUGGCGAAGGCGGCAUCCUGGACCGGUAUUGACGCUGAGGCGCGAAAGCUAGGGGAGCAAACGGG